RNAcentral lists this small nuclear RNA (105 nucleotides) under Procavia capensis (Cape rock hyrax). Lineage: Eukaryota; Metazoa; Chordata; Mammalia; Hyracoidea; Procaviidae. The record is from RNAcentral.
GUGUCACUCCUGCAGCACAUACACCAACACUGAGACGUUACAGAAAAAAUUAGCAUAGCCACUGUGCAAAGGAGAUUCACAAAUUUGUAAAGUUGCCACAUUUUU